CAGCCGCCGCGGUAAUACCGGCGGCCCGAGUGGCGGUCACUAUUAUUUGGCUUAAAGCGUCCGUAGCCGGGUUGGGAAGUCCUCCGGGAAAUCUGGCCGCUUAACGGUCAGAAUGCCGGAGGAUACUCCCAGCCUAGGGAGCGGGAGAGGCCGAGGGUAUUCCCGGAGUAGGGGUGAAAUCCUAUAAUCCCGGGAGGACCACCUGUGGCGAAGGCGCUCGGCUGGAACGCGUCCGACGGUGAGGGACGAAGGCCAGGGGAGCAAACCGGAUUAGAUACCCGGGUAGUCCUGGCGGUAAACGAUGCGGACUUUGUGUCGGACAAGCUAUGAGCUUGUCCGGUGCCGGAGGGAAACCGUUAAGUCCGCCGCCUGGGGAGUACGGCCGCAAGGCUGAAACUUAAAGGAAUUGGCGGG
Molecule: ribosomal RNA, 414 nt
Filed under: uncultured microorganism
Description: bacterial SSU rRNA
Rfam family: Archaeal small subunit ribosomal RNA
Source: RNAcentral